Molecule: transfer RNA, 73 nt
Filed under: Propionibacteriaceae bacterium
Lineage: Bacteria; Bacillati; Actinomycetota; Actinomycetes; Propionibacteriales; Propionibacteriaceae
Description: tRNA-Thr
Rfam family: tRNA
About the family: Transfer RNA (tRNA) molecules are approximately 80 nucleotides in length.
Source: RNAcentral
GCCACCUUAGCUCAGUUGGUAGAGCGGCUCACUCGUAAUGAGCAGGUCAAGAGUUCGAUUCUCUUAGGUGGCU